GGGGGGUUAGCUCAGCUGGGAGAGCGCCGCGUUCGCAACGCGGAGGCCGAGGGUUCGAAUCCCUUACCCUCCACCA
RNAcentral lists this transfer RNA (76 nucleotides) under candidate division NC10 bacterium RBG_16_65_8. RNAcentral describes it as "tRNA-Ala". It matches the Rfam family "tRNA". Rfam says of the family: Transfer RNA (tRNA) molecules are approximately 80 nucleotides in length. Their secondary structure includes four short double-helical elements and three loops (D, anti-codon, and T loops). Lineage: Bacteria; Methylomirabilota (SeqCode). RNAcentral also lists the same sequence under 1 other name. The record is from RNAcentral.